Molecule: ribosomal RNA, 1725 nt
Filed under: Triticum aestivum (bread wheat)
Lineage: Eukaryota; Viridiplantae; Streptophyta; Magnoliopsida; Poales; Poaceae
Description: partial small subunit ribosomal RNA
Source: RNAcentral
AUGGUGAAGGACAAGACGUCGGCUUUGGAGCGCGCGAAGAAGGCGGUGGUGCAGGGGAAGGGGAAGAAGUCCGCUCGGGGCGGAUCUUCCUCGAGGACUGCUCUGCCCAGGGAUUGGAUCCAGGGCGACUGGAUGCCCUCGGUGAUUCGGCAGGAAGAUCUUGACGACAUGGUCGAGGGGGGAGUCAUUCCCCAUGAAGCUGCGCGUCUCCCGGGGGGAGAAGUCGAACCCCAACCUCGUGACGGUGAGUGCGUCCUCCUCGCCACCCAUAUCGAUCGCGGAUUUUCUCUACCUCCUCAUCCUUUUUUCCGGAGCUUUUUGAACUUCUUCAGAGCGCAGCUCCAUCAUUUCACUCCCAAUUCCAUCGUGUAUCUUGCGGCUUUCGUUUCCUUGUGCGAAAGUUUCUUGGGUUGCCGCCCUCAUUGGGGACUCUUUAAACACAUCUUCACUUGCCGUUCCCAAUCGGUAAAGAAAGCCAAGUCGAGUGACGAAUGGACGCAAGUGAUCCAGCUAUGCGGGGGCCUGGCGAUCCAGAUGAGGGGUAAAAGUUCUUUUCCGUCUAUCACUUUUCCCGAGUCGGUCCGUGGUUGGCAGUCGACCUGGUUUUAUUGCCAAGACCAGGUGACCCCAGGGCAGUCGACUGGUCUUCCCCCUUUCUCUCUGGACCGAGCUCAAAAGCCUGCCUCUCUGAAAGUGCUGCCGGAGGAAAAGGCGCAAGUCAAGGUGCUGGUUGGUCGAGUGGUUCAGCUUGUCCGAGACGGCAUGACCGGCAUGGACUUGCUGGAGGUCUUCCUUCGGAGGCGCAUCCAACCGCUUCAGGCUCGUGACCACCCUAUGUGGCUGUACUCGGGUCUCGACGACACCACUCGGGUUCACCCAGAGGAGGUCACCGACGAGAUGCUGGAAGGGUGGCUAUCGAGCAUCACAGGGAACAAAGACAACCCCCGAGGAGCCAGGAGGGUUGUCCCGCUUGACAGUACAUACGACGUGGACCAGGCAACUACAGAGAUGUACUCGACACCCAACAGAGCACAGGGGCAGGCCGAGGAAGGGGAGGCGAGCGGAGGCGAAAGCGGAGACGAACAGGGGGAGUGGGAGUCUGACGGUGAAGGAGAGGGAGACGACGGUGUCGACUCCAGCGAAGAGGAGGAGGAGGAGGAAGCUGGACCUCCCCGCUCGAAAAGGCGAUCCAAGCUUACACACGAUCUUGCGCGGGAACGUGGUAAGGCGACUGCUCCCGUUGGGCAGUCGUCGAAGCGCCCUCGGACCUCUUCUCCAGCGCCGACUGAAAAAGCUCCCAAGCACCCCCGCACGGCGCCGUCCAAGCCACCCAAGGCUCUGCCCAAGAUGAGGAUGACUGUCCCCACCAUUUCUCGUGCUGCUACUUUUGAGAUCUCCGCCAAGGACGAUGAUCAAGAGAUGGAAGAUGCGGUUACUUCCAACCCUGCUCCUCCUCAUGUUAUUAGCCUUCCUGACGACAAAGACGAAGCGCCGCUGAGAGUGAGGCGGAACAGGAAAGUGUCGGCUGGCGAGACUCCACAAUCCACUCCGGCGCCUGAGGCCGUAGCUCGAGACGGUGGCGAUACCACCCGGGCUUCUGUGACUUUCGCCAAUCCUCUGGCGAGUGCGCGGCCCUCGACGUCGACCGUAAAUCCGCCUUCGCUCUUCGCCACACACCACGUCCCUGAGGACCAAGUGGGUGCAGCUAAGGAAGCUAUACGCUAG